CUACGUGCCAGCAGCCGCGGUAAUACGGAGGAUGCGAGCGUUAUCCGGAAUCAUUGGGUUUAAAGGGUCCGUAGGCGGGCUAAUAAGUCAGAGGUGAAAGCGCUCAGCUCAACUGAGCAACUGCCUUUGAAACUGUUAGUCUUGAAUGGUUGUGAAGUAGUUGGAAUGUGUAGUGUAGCGGUGAAAUGCUUAGAUAUUACACAGAACACCGAUAGCGAAGGCAUAUUACUAACAAUUAAUUGACGCUGAUGGACGAAAGCGUGGGGAGCGAACAGGAUUAGAUACCCUGGUAGUCCACGCUGUAAACGAUGGAUACUAGCUGUUUGGUUGCAAGACUGAGUGGCUAAGCGAAAGUGAUAAGUAUCCCACCUGGGGAGUACGCACGCAAGUGUGAAACUCAAAGGAAUUGACGGGGGCCCGCACAAGCGGAGGAACAUGUGGUUUAAUUCGAUGAUACGCGAGGAACCUUACCCGGGAUUGAA
RNAcentral lists this ribosomal RNA (482 nucleotides) under uncultured bacterium. RNAcentral describes it as "bacterial SSU rRNA". It matches the Rfam family "Bacterial small subunit ribosomal RNA", at positions 501 to 985 of the family's 1533-position model. The record is from RNAcentral.